Molecule: non-coding RNA, 271 nt
Organism: Nicotiana tabacum (common tobacco)
Lineage: Eukaryota; Viridiplantae; Streptophyta; Magnoliopsida; Solanales; Solanaceae
Source: RefSeq, a predicted model, not a curated record
AUGCUAAAACGCAUUUCGUUCUAGCAUCUACCCGAAAGAAACAUGCGUUUCGGAGUCAGGUAGUCGCCUUUUAGCAUCCCCGGCGUCUUCUCGUGGCUCGAACGGCUUCAAGCACACUUGUUAGAUUCUUGAUGAUAAUAAGAAGGAUUUGAUCCCGGUUUGGUUGAUGGAACAUAUUAGAUCUGAUUUUGUUUCAAGAUGAAUGUUAUAUUAGUGUUAUCAUCAUGUAAAUCUGUUAAAAAUUAGUUAAAUUAUCAUUUUCUUCUUUAUA